AUUGAACGCUGGCGGCAUGCCUUACACAUGCAAGUCGAACGGCAGCAUGGAGAGCUUGCUCUCUGAUGGCGAGUGGCGAACGGGUGAGUAAAGCAUCGGAACGUACCGUGUAGUGGGGGAUAACGUAGCGAAAGUUACGCUAAUACCGCAUACGCACUGAGGUGGAAAGCAGGGGAUCGUAAGACCUUGCGCUAUACGAGCGGCCGAUGUCAGAUUAGCUAGUUGGUAGGGUAAAGGCCUACCAAGGCGACGAUCUGUAGCGGGUCUGAGAGGAUGAUCCGCCACACUGGGACUGAGACACGGCCCGGACUCCGACGGGAGGCAGCAGUGGGGAAUUUUGGACAAUGGGGGCAACCCUGAUCCAGCAAUGCCGCGUGAGUGAAGAAGGCCUUCGGGUUGUAAAGCUCUUUUGUCAGGGAAGAAACAGCAGCUCUAACACAGUAUGCGAAUGACGGUACCUGAAGGAUAAGCACCGGCUAACUACGUGCCAGCCGCCGCCGUAA
RNAcentral lists this ribosomal RNA (503 nucleotides) under uncultured bacterium. Its description in RNAcentral is "partial 16S ribosomal RNA". It matches the Rfam family "Bacterial small subunit ribosomal RNA", at positions 30 to 523 of the family's 1533-position model. The record is from RNAcentral.